This 76-nucleotide transfer RNA is filed under the name Polyangium fumosum. RNAcentral describes it as "tRNA-Thr". It matches the Rfam family "tRNA". Rfam says of the family: Transfer RNA (tRNA) molecules are approximately 80 nucleotides in length. Their secondary structure includes four short double-helical elements and three loops (D, anti-codon, and T loops). Lineage: Bacteria; Pseudomonadati; Myxococcota; Polyangiales; Polyangiaceae. The record is from RNAcentral. RNAcentral also lists the same sequence under 9 other names.
GCUGGCGUAGCUCAACCGGUAGAGCACCUGCCUUGUAAGCAGGGGGUUAGGGGUUCAAGUCCCCUCGUCAGCUCCA